Molecule: ribosomal RNA, 484 nt
Filed under: uncultured bacterium
Lineage: Bacteria
Description: partial 16S ribosomal RNA
Rfam family: Bacterial small subunit ribosomal RNA
Source: RNAcentral
AUUGAACGCUGGCGGCAUGCUUUACACAUGCAAGUCGAACGGCAGCGCGGGCUUCGGCCUGGCUGCGAGUGGCGAACGGGUGAGUAAUGCAUCGGAACGUGCCCAGCAGUGGGGGAUAGCCCGGCGAAAGCCGGAUUAAUACCGCAUACGACCUGAGGGUGAAAGCGGGGGACCGAAAGGCCUCGCGCUAUUGGAGCGGCCGAUGUCGGAUUAGCUAGUUGGUGGGGUAAAGGCUUACCAAGGCGACGAUCCGUAGCUGGUCUGAGAGGACGACCAGCCACACUGGGACUGAGACACGGCCCAGACUCCUACGGGAGGCAGCAGUGGGGAAUUUUGGACAAUGGGGGCAAGCCUGAUCCAGCCAUGCCGCGUGCGGGAAGAAGGCCUUCGGGUUGUAAACCGCUUUUGUUCGGGAAGAAAUCCUCUGGGCUAAUACCCCGGGGGGAUGACGGUACCGGAAGAAUAAGCACCGGCUAACUACGUG